UGGUGGCUAGUGCUUCCCUGGCCGCCGUAGGAGUAGGAUCUGUGCGUUGCUCUCUCAGGGGUCCGGAAGCCUCCCUUAGUCCACUGGGUCUUAGGAACGCGCUGCUCUCUGGAAAAAAGCAAGGAAUAUUGAGCCGGGAAAUAGUCCCUUAAGUGUAUAAAGAUUGUGACCUGGUGACGAGCGAAUGGUGCAGUGGCGUGCCUGAUGUGUGCGUAACUUGUGCCGCAGCAAACUGUUAUCGUAGUGACAUAUGCGACCAGUGUUUGCAAGGAACCAUGAGCAUUGUCUUUCUGGAGCGACCACUGUGAUCUUACUCCCCUCUACUCGUCUCUUUCUCUGGUUGUUUUAGUGGAGUGCGAGGGGAGCGCCGCCCCCGACACGUGUCCCCCAGGCCAUGGUGCCCGAGCAAGACCCCCUCCUUGCCACGCACCCCAACAGCAUGUCCAAGGAGGCCGAGGUGCCGCCCGAGCAGGUAGAGCCAGUCGACCUCAGUGUCAAAACCAAGGACGACCAAGCAGCCGGUCCCCAGCCCAGCCCUGGCCAUGUCAAGCCAGUCUCCAGGGUGGCCGGGGCGCCAGCGACCCACGGCCACCAGCCCGGGCCUCAGGGCUCCUCCCUGCGGCUGCCAAGGUUCGGGCCUCACCCGGACCCCUCGCGACCACCCUCAGGGCCCCUGGGCUUCACCCCCGUUAGGCUCCCAGUUGAUAAGACACGACGGCAACCGAAUAAUGACCAGCGCGCCGUCAGCUUGUUGCUGACAGAGCAGGGGCCCAAGCUGUCUGCCGAGCGGCGACCCAGCGAGCAGCAGCAGCAGCAGCAGUCACCGGGCAGUGCACUUAGCGUGUCCAUCGUGGGGUCCCUCGCCGCAGCCCAAGCAGAGGCAGAGAGCGGCUCCAGCGACCGCUUACCUCGUGUGAGCGAGAGUAACGGCCACAAGCACUUCGACCAUCCGCCCUUCAAGUACUCGGAGGGCGCCUCUCCUCCUCUGUCCAUCAGGCAGGUGCCCCGCUACACCUCCAUCGCCUCGGAGACCGGUGCAGUGUCCAAGCCCUCGCAAACCCUUGCAGUGACCCUUUCCACUACACACUCUACUUCCUCCUCCUCCUCCUCCAAGUCUUUGCCGCAGAGCCUAACGGUGGAGCCGCGCUCCGUCUCCGUGACAUCCAGCUGCGGCGUGCCCAGGACCAGGUCCCCCACCCUCUCACCGGACCACAGCGGCCUAUCAGCCCUAGACCUGCCAGCCCUGCACAUGGGCUUGCCGUUGCACACCUCCAGCUUCUGCAUGAGUCCCGACCAGGUGGUGGGCGCCAGCGGCUCGCCCCUCAGACCCAGCGACCCCGCCUUCCUCCUGCACAUGUCAAGGUUCCCGGGCUCCCUCCCUCUGCCCCUCGGCCUCGACCUCACCCUCAAGUCUGAGCUGGGUAAGAGUCCCAUGGACACCCUCAACAUGAGUCUGGAGAGUUCCUUUCACAACGGCACCACCUCGCCCUUCCUCUCCCUGCAGAGGAUACGAGAGGCGUCUCUAGCCCUGUACGGGAAGAGAUCGCUGAGUGAGAGUCCUUCGCCACCUCCCCUGGCCGGCACCCGCCUCUCCUCGCCACCACAUACCUCCGCCCUUACCUCUUCUACCAUCUCCUCCUCGUCCUCUUCUUCGUCCUCUCCUUCGUCGCCCCCAGCAGGCGCCCGGGCCCCUGGUCGGCCCCCUCCGCCCUCUGCUGAUUAUCCGGAGGUCCUCAGGAGGCGGAAGGCUCACCGCUGUGAUUUUGAAGGCUGUGAAAAAGUGUACACCAAGAGUUCACACUUGAAGGCACACAAACGUACACACACAGGAGAGAAGCCUUACCAGUGCACGUGGGACGGCUGCAAGUGGAGGUUCGCACGGUCGGACGAGCUGACGCGCCACUACCGCAAACACACGGGCCAGAAGCCCUUCAAGUGCCAGCUGUGUCAGCGGUCCUUCUCGCGGUCAGACCACCUCUCGCUGCACAUGAAGCGGCACUGAGGGCGCGGCGCUGCCAGGGAUGAAGGAGACUCGGCUGACGAGGUUCCUUCCUCUCCCGCGCAGAGCAAGCCUUCUCCACCUGUGAUAACUGUGCAUUUGUUGAUGAGACGAGCGGAACAGUGGAUCGCCUCAGUCACUGGUCGCGCCGCGCGGCCACCGUCCUCCUGGCCUGGCGCACGUUGCCCCGGAGCCUUCAGAAGGUACGAGUGAAGCUUGUGUAUUCGAUCUCACGCGUUUUAAUUAUUUAAAUUUUUAUCAAGAAUGUUUGCAACAUUGAGCAGCCUCCUGUCAGUAUUACCAGCGCCGCAAGGGUCGUCCCUCCUAUCCCCCACUAAUGGCGGCUUCGGGGCUGCGGGCGGGUCAGCAGGUGACUGUGAAGCAGCGCCACCGUUCCCCUCCCACCCUGCUGUUGCUGCGACACCGAGAUGAGGAAACACUUACACUGGAGGGAAUGGCACCAGAUGAGCAUGUUUACUCUGAAUUAGAACGUGCAUUUCUAUUUCCUGGAAGCCGCGAGGCUCGGCUUCCCCGCGGUUGGCGGCACCACGCGCCGGAAGUCUGUGUGACAGGCGGGCGGCGGGGUGGCGGGGCGGCGCCGGAGCAGCAACAAUGGUGCUACUGCAGAGACGCGUCGUUGUGCAGCGUGUUCCCGAGGCCUGAGGGCCCACGGGCCUCCUAGGCCUGCAAGAUUAUAUUUUCUCUAGCGCAUUCUAUCUGGAUAUAUUUUUUUAUACUGCCAUACAUGUACAUGUUUCUUGUGGUUGUCUGUGAUCUUGUCUGGACGUAGACUAAGCGCUUCUGUUGUUAUUGUUUCGAUGUUUUGCGUGAUUGUUUGUGAUGAGUUUUUUCUUAUGUGACUCGCGGUGUUGGACGAUCGUAAGUCCAGCCUGGAGGCCAGAACCGCUCUCCUCUGUGCGUCUGUUCCUGUUCGUUCACCUCCCCACUAAGCAGCAACACUCAGCCUCACCACUGGUCAAGGAUUCUCUCUGAACACGCGUCAAGGGAGGAGCUGUCUGUCGGAGCCACGCCCUCCCUUGCUACAUAUCACCGCUCCGACACUCGCCAGAUGGUUACAAUGUGCGGCGAGUGUUGUGGUCGUCUUGUCUCCGUCCUGUAGUCGUAGUGGGAGUGAGGAGUGAUCGCCGCCUGGAGGAUUGCCGCGGCGGGUCACGGUCAGCUCGGCGCCUCGGCACCAGCAGCCUGUGCCGGGAAUUAAUCAUUUUGUCCGUGGGUUUACCUGACGACCCGCUGUGAUGAUGCAACUCCCUGCUGGGGCUGCGUGGCCACGAGCCCCGCUCCCUCACCCAUCCCCCGCAGCCCCCAGUCCUCUAGGCCUCCAUCAAGGACUAAGUCGCUCUUUCCAUCACAGUCUUCCAUUAUCACGAAGUACAAAUAACUUUUCUCUCCUUGUAAAUAAGUGGCUUUCCUUUCUCUCUCCUCCUGGGAAGAUAACUACGUAGAUCACUAUUUAAAAGUAGUUGAAGUCGACUAAGAGCAAGCCACGCGCCGCUGCCCUCCAGCCGCUAAGGACUCGCAGGGUCCUUAGCACCAGUUUAUAUUCCAGGCGGCGUUCGUCCCUCUGAGACACUGAGGUGAAGGUCACGGUGGGAAUAGUUGACCUGACCUCCACUCCAGGCCUCUUGUAGUCAUUGUGAAAGGACUGACUCGCCUGCUGCCCUCCUCCUCCUCCUCCUCCUCCUCCUCUUCUUCCUGUCACACCUGCUGUACCAACCUUGAUUCAUCUCUUUACCUGAGUGCCGUGAAAUAUCUAAAGGUGAUUCACUUUACUUUGGACUUUGUAACUGACUUUCUCUUUUCUUAGUUCUUGGGAGAAAUUAACUAAAUUAGACGCAUCCUGUACAACCCCAGAUCCCUCAACGGUCCUUCCUGACUCGCGCCUUUCGUCCCCGCCUCUCCCUCCCUCGCCGCGCCCAGGUCCUGGCUGCUGGCGGCUGGACAUUAACUUGGCGGGGAAGGGAGCGAGGUGGCAGAGCGGGGCGGGGCGGGGCGGGGCAAGCACUCCUGUCUUUGCUAGUUCUAGUGAAUUAUUUGUACAAAGACGAGCAAUGCCACAAGACUCGUUUGAGGUUAAGAAAAGAGCUAUUAAAUGCACUCCCUCCUCCCUUUAACCACUUCCCUUCCCCCUUUCCCCCUUUCCCCCCUUCCCUUUCCCCCUUCCCCUCUCGGUAACCCGUGGAGCCGCUUCGCAUUAAGUGCCAUAAACAUAAAGGGUCAUUUUGAGGUUCUUUUCCCGUUUUUUAGGCAAGACUAGGGAGUGGUGGGGCGAACCUCGAACAGACCUUUUUUUUUCUAUUCCUUUCUUCGUAGGGAGUCUUAGGAGGCUUUAAAUGCUCUCUGGAAAUCUUGAGGGCAUGAAGGAGGAGAGAAAGGAGUCCUGCGUUGCCUCUUCCUUCCCUGGCAUGUGAUGGCGAGGAAGGAGAGGAAGGAAAAGUAACGGGAAGGCGAAGGUAAUAUUUGCUGUCGAUCAUUUGGCGGUCCGUUUUCUCCUCUUAAUGUAGUCGCCCCUUUGACCUACGUUUUCUAUUCCCCGCGAGCUAUUUAUGUGUUGAUCUUAGUUGAUAUACUACCCUCGGGCUUUUGUCGUCGUGUUUUCCCUCUUGUUUUACGUGUUCCUGUGGCUGUGUGUAUGUGUGUGUGUGUGUGUGUGUGUGUGUGUGUGUGUGUGUGUGUGUGUGUGUG
Molecule: unclassified non-coding RNA, 4702 nt
Filed under: Portunus trituberculatus (swimming crab)
Lineage: Eukaryota; Metazoa; Arthropoda; Malacostraca; Decapoda; Portunidae
Description: krueppel-like factor 12, transcript variant X1
Source: RNAcentral